RNAcentral lists this ribosomal RNA (253 nucleotides) under uncultured bacterium. RNAcentral's name for it is "partial 16S ribosomal RNA". It matches the Rfam family "Bacterial small subunit ribosomal RNA", at positions 524 to 776 of the family's 1533-position model. The record is from RNAcentral.
UACGAAGGGGGCUAGCGUUGUUCGGAAUUACUGGGCGUAAAGGGUGCGCAGGCGGGCCUGUAAGUCAGAGGUGAAAGCCCACGGCUCAACCGUGGAACUGCCUUUGAUACUGCAGGUCUUGAGUCCUGGAGAGGCUAUCGGAAUUCGUGGUGUAGCGGUGAAAUGCGUAGAUAUCACGAGGAACACCGGAUGCGUAGGCGGAUAGCUGGACAGGUACUGACGCUCAGGCACGAAAGCGUGGGGAGCAAACAGG